GACGGAGGAUGCAAGCGUUAUCCGGAAUGAUUGGGCGUAAAGCGUCCGCAGGUGGCAGUUCAAGUCUGCUGUCAAAGACCGGGGCUUAACUUCGGAAAGGCAGUGGAAACCGAACAGCUAGAGUAUGGUAGGGGCAGAGGGAAUUCCUGGUGUAGCGGUGAAAUGCAUAGAUAUCGAGAGGAACACCUGCGGCGAAGGCGGGUUGCUGGGCUGACACUGACGCUGAUGCGCGAAAGCUAGGGGAGCGAACGGG
Molecule: ribosomal RNA, 253 nt
Filed under: uncultured bacterium
Lineage: Bacteria
Description: partial 16S ribosomal RNA
Rfam family: Bacterial small subunit ribosomal RNA
Source: RNAcentral